This is an RNA transcript of Brachypodium distachyon (stiff brome), 4557 nucleotides long. It is a transcript of the gene named DNA-directed RNA polymerases IV and V subunit 2, with no coding region annotated. The record is from RefSeq and is a predicted model, not a curated record. The transcript has 9 exons. NCBI's taxonomy places the organism in Eukaryota, Viridiplantae, Streptophyta, Magnoliopsida, Poales, Poaceae.
UGCUCUCCCUCCCCUGAUCACCCUCCCGCCAUGCCUCCACUGACACCGCACCGCAACCAUUUCUUUCUUCUUCAGUUCUUCUCCCAUCUAUAAACCCUCCCGUUUCGGGCUAGAACCCUAGAACCCCCCCAACCCUGGCCACCCACCCUCGGGACGGGAGCUGCAGAGCCGGGGAGCUUCGAACGCCGGGACCCUCCUCGCUCGGGCGGCCGACCUAGGGUUUCGUUCCCCCGGCCGGGCCGCCGCAUCCGUCACCGUCCGUCCUACUCCGCCGCAGUUGCAGUACUUGACAGGGUAUUAGGCUAUUAGCUGCCUUUGUGUGCGAUGGAAGAUAUACCAAGGGGCAGUGGACACUCAACAAAUGGCACUGAGCCUGAGCUGGAACCUAUGAUACUGGAUGACGAUGGGGAGAGCAGAUCCCGUACCAUUGAUGAUUCAAAUGAGCAGUCUUCUAUGGGUAUUGACAGCGAUCGGUCUUCCAUGGAUGUGGAUAUGAAGGGGAAAUCAUCCCUGGAUGGUGACGGCAAAGGAAAGUAUUCUUCCGAGUCACAUGAAGAAUUUCCAAUUGACAUGAGCUUGACAAGUCUAGAGAAGUUUUGCAAGGAAGCAUCUAGGUCAUUUUUUGAUGAAAUUGGUCUCAUUAGCCACCAGAUAAAUUCCUAUAACGAUUUCAUCUCGCAUGGGCUCCAGGAGCUUUUUGAUUCGCUAGGCGAAGUGACUGUUGAGCCUAGCUAUGACCCUUCAAAGAAAGGACCAGGUGGUUGGAGGCAUGCCAUCAUCAAGUUUGGGAAAGUGAAACUACAAGAGCCUGUAUUCUGGUCUGACAAAUGUGAGGACAAAUAUGAGGAGGCACUCAAGCUCAAACCAAGACACGCUCGCCUCCAGAAUAUGACAUAUUCCUCCAAAAUGGAAGUAGAAAUGAAUAUUCAGGUUUAUUCUAUGGAGAAAAGUGAUAAGGCUAAAACAGAGAAUGAUCAUUUUGGGCACAAGAGGGAUAUCAUUAAUGAAACCCAUUGGGUGUCUGUUGGCCGCCUUCCAGUUAUGGUCAAUUCAAAUUUAUGCUGGCUGCAUAAACUUGGGGAAAGUGACUGCCUUUUUGAUUCUGGUGGAUACUUUCUGAUCAAGGGAAUGGAGAAGAUAUUUAUCGCGCAAGAGCAAAGAUGCUUGACCAGGAUUUGGGUUGAUGAUCGGCCUUGCUGGACUGUCUCUUAUAUGUCUGAAAUCAAACGAAAACGCACAUAUGUAAAACUAAUUGAUUCUACAAAGAGCAAUGAUUUCAGUGAGAGCAAAAUCAUCUCCAUUUCCUUUUUGUAUGCCAACAUGCCAGUUUGGUUAAUGUUUUUUGCGCUAGGCAUAUCAUCUGAUAAGGAGGUAUUUGAUAUAAUUGAUUUCAAAGACUCUGAUGCUUCUGUUAUCAACAUGAUAUCUGCAACUAUUAGUGAAUCUAAUGAACUGUGUGAAGGCUUCCGUAAGUCCGAUAAAGCCCGCCAAUAUGUUGAUGAUUUGGUCAAGAGUUCAAAAUUUCCUCCAGCAGAGUCAUUUGAUGAUUAUGUUGCUAGGUUUCUCUUUCCUGGUAUAAGUGGGAAUAGGAAUAAAGCAUUUUUCUUAGGUUACAUGGUCAAAUACCUUCUAAUGGCUUUUACUGGGAAGCUCAAAUGUGAUAAUAGGGAUGCUUUCCGGAACAAGAGGUUGGAGCUACCUGGUGAAUUGCUUGGAAGAGAACUUCGGGCACAUCUUAGGCAUGCAGAGAGACUCAUGGUUAAGGCCAUGCAGAGAGAUCUGAAUAGUGACCGCGAUUUACAGUUUCCUCUGGGCUAUCUUGAUCCUACAAUUAUCACUAAUGGUAUAAAUCGUGCCUUCGCUACUGGUUCUUGGUGUCAUCCCUACAAAAGAAAUGAAAGAUGCUCAGGAGUUGUUGCAACGCUAAGGAGAACAAAUCCUCUUCAAAUGAUGUCAGACUUGAGGAAAAGUCGUCAGCAAGUUGCUUAUGCUGGGAAAGCUGGUGAUGCAAGAUAUCCCAAUCCAUCCUACUGGGGAAAAAUGUGUUUUAUGUCCACACCUGAUGGCGAAAACUGUGGACUUGUGAAAAAUCUGGCUGUUACUGCUAUUGUUAGCUCAAGAGUGGUACAACCAUUGAUUGACAGAUUUGUUUCUUGUGGAAUGAAUAAACUCGAUGAAAUUCCUGCUGGACAGAUUCCUAAAAUGGACAAAAUCUUCCUGAAUGGCAAUUGGGUAGGAUCCUGUACUGAUCCAGCUUCAUUUGUCAUGCGUUUAAGGUGCAUGAGACGUGGCAAUCUGAUUGAUCCACAGGUUGAAAUCAAAAGGGACAAGCACCAAAUUCCUGGGGAAGUACGAGUGUUUUCUGAUGCAGGGCGAAUCCUCAGACCUCUUCUUGUGGUUGAGAACCUAAAUAAAAUUAGAAAACCGAAGGAUGGUUCAUACUCUUUUCAGGCACUAAUGCAACAAGAAAUAAUUGAGUACAUUGGUGUUGAAGAGGAGGAAGACAUACUAUGUGCCUGGGGAAUCAGGCACCUAUUUCCGGGCAGUGGAGAGGACUUUUCUGGUUAUACUCACUGUGAGCUAGAUCUUUCUUUUCUGCUGGGAUUAAGUUGUAGUCUUAUCCCUUUUGCAAAUCACAAUUUUGCUCGAAGGGUACUGUACCAGUCAGAAAAACACUCACAGCAAGCUAUUGGAUACUCCACAACAAAUCAACUUACCAGAGUCGAUACUCUUUCCCAUCAACUUUACUACCCUCAGAGACCCCUUUUCAAAACAGUUACAGCUGAUUGUAUUGGUAGAUCUGAUUAUACUAUUGGAAGAACAGAUGAUUUUGCUAGGCCAGAAUAUUUCAAUGGACAAAAUGCGAUUGUGGCCGUCAAUGUUCAUCAGGGAUUUAACCAAGAGGACUCUCUGGUUAUGAAUAGAGCUUCUCUUGAACGGGGUAUGUUUAGAACAGAACUCAUCAGGAGCUAUAAGGCAGAUGUAGAGACCAAAGAGCCCGCCAAACGAUUGAAACUGAAGGAAAAGGUAGACUUUGGUAAAAUGCAAAGCAAGAGAGGGCGGGUUGACAGUCUUGACGAUGAUGGAUUACCGUACGUGGGUGCAAGUCUUCAGAGUGGUGAUAUCGUCAUUGGGAAAGUGUCGGAAUCUGGUGAAGACCAUAGUAUCAAGCUGAAGCAUACUGAAAAGGGAAUGGUCCAGAGAGUGCUGCUCUCAGCCAAUGACGAGGAGAAGAAUUUUGCUGUUGUAACUUUAAGACAGGUUCGGUCUCCUUGCGUUGGAGAUAAAUUUUCUAGCAUGCAUGGCCAGAAAGGUGUUAUUGGUUUUCUAGAAUCCCAGGAGAACUUCCCUUUUACUUGCCAAGGAAUAGUUCCAGAUAUUGUGAUAAACCCACAUGCCUUUCCUACCCGUCAAACUCCGGGCCAGCUGCUUGAAGCUGCUUUGGGGAAGGGAAUCGCUCUUGGUAGUGCAAUGAGAUAUGCAACACCGUUCACCACAGCAUCACUUGAAGUGAUCUCGGAGCAAUUGCAUAAAGCUGGAUUUUCAGGAGGCGGUACUGAAAGUGUUCUGAAUGGCCAAACUGGCGAAAGGAUGCACUCAUUGAUUUUCAUGGGUCCCAACUUUUACCAGAGGUUGACGCACAUGGCUGAAGACAAGGUAAAAUUCAGGAAUACUGGGCCAGUGCACCCUCUCACAAGGCAACCUGUGGCAGACAGGAAAAGGUUUGGAGGAGUGAAGUUUGGAGAAAUGGAGCGUGACUGCCUCCUUGCCCAUGGGGCAGCUGCCAACCUCCAUGAGCGGCUCUUCAUGCUUAGUGACUUUGCACAGAUGCACAUCUGCCAAACAUGUCAGCGGGCUGCAAACGUUGUCAUGAGGGCUAUCCCUGGAGGAAAGAAGAUCCGAGGCCCAUACUGCGGAUUCUGCCGGUCUUCAGAGAAUAAAGUUAGGAUCGCCGUGCCCUACGGUGCAAAGCUGCUCUACCAGGAGCUCUUCAGCAUGGGGAUCUGCCUCAAGUUCAAGACAGAAGUCUGCUAGACUUCCGUCAUCGAAUUGUGAUGUAUAUAUAGGUUACCAAUGGCUAUCCUCAUGUAAUGUACAAAACCCCUUCUGACGGUGGUGUUUAUAUCAGCGCGAGUGCCGACACUUUCUUCUGUAUAAUGAGUCAUAAACAAUGAUGCAAAAGGUAAAUAAUUCCGGAGGGUCUUGCAGGCUAUAAAUACACACCUUACAGAGAUACUCUAUCCAAGGCAAGUGAUAUUCAUGAAGGAAGAAAAAUGAGGAUAUACAUUCUUCAAAUGCUAGUUACCCUCCAUAAAAAAGUCAUGCCAAUGAAUCUGAUAGCCUCAAGUUGCUGUUCAUGGGACACAUUUGUUUUGAAUCAAUCACUGGAUAAUCUAAUGUUCCUUAUAGUGCUUCAAGGAUAUGUAUAAUGAAAAAUCUGCUUCCAUGUUUUGCGUGGCUGAGGCGAGAUUUGCUGGAUGCCUAUAACUAAUCUUUUUUUCUGAAUGAGACCAUGAGUGUAUUAAUGUUAGCAGUAAAGGUUCACAUAUUAAUGUA